Limulus polyphemus (Atlantic horseshoe crab) is the source of this 1181-nucleotide long non-coding RNA. RefSeq lists it as uncharacterized. The record is from RefSeq and is a predicted model, not a curated record. The transcript is spliced from 5 exons. NCBI's taxonomy places the organism in Eukaryota, Metazoa, Arthropoda, Merostomata, Xiphosura, Limulidae.
UAAAAGUGAGAUUAGGCUUAAAUUUUAAAAUUAAAUAAAGUGACCCGAGACAAUUUUUAAAAAUUAAAUUCAAAUGGUUGAACUUGUACUUCACAAAUUAGCGUUAUCAGAGUAAAAUAUAAGCGUAGAAGUUCCAGUAUCUUAAAUGUAAGUUGUAACAAAGGACAAGUUAGAUUAAAUUAAAAGAAGUGGUCGUUUUUAAAGUUAAUUCAAACAGGUCAGUUGUGACAUAAAACUUAACUAAAAAUAAAAUUAAAAAUAUAUCGGUUAUCAUAAAAUGAUAAAUACCUAAUUGAGUUUAACUUUAAAGUUUUAACGAAAGCAUAGCAAAAAAAGAAUAGUGCCAACAUCUUACUUAAUGUAGGAAACAAAAUCUCAUUGUGAGGUGUUCCACUUGCUGGUGAGCAAAUCUGUUUGUUAGCUUGAUGGGACACAGGUUCUCCAUGGAUGAAAUCCCUUAACAACUUAGACUGCUCAUCUUUGAGAAGCUUCCAUUUCUACUCUACACUAUUGGGCAGAGGAUUUUUUGUGUUUUCUUGUCUCUAGCCAUUGUGGAAGUGACUACAGUGCUUGUUGUAAGAGGACCAGUAAUGAUAUCAUCAGCUUAUUGUGGGUGAGAUGGAGAAUCUUCUUCCCAUUUAGGUUGUGCCAAACUGAAACUAGUUACCACCAGCUUUUUCUGAUGAAUCAGAACAUAUAACAAGUACUAUGUUUCUGGAAAUGGAAACAUUCUGUUGAGUGUCAACGUUCUGAAGUUCAAAACUUGUACAUUUCAGUUUUACUGAAAAACUUGAAGUUCAUACUAUUUCAUAAUGAGGAGGUAGCAAAAAAUCAGUCAUUUGCCAGUUUUGCUUUGAGAAAUUUAUUCCUUUUCCAUUCCUUGUCAGUAUUUUAAAAACUUCAAUGCCUUGAUGUAGAUUUCACCAUUCUUCUGUCUUAAUUUAGCAAAGCUUAUUCUUUUGCAAGCUUGCUUAAGAUUAUAAUAUUUUCACCUCUUCAAAAAGGCUAUUACUGAAGAACAAGAGACCAGUUUUUGUUCACAAAAUAGGUAUACUAGUGGAAGUCCAGGAGUACCUAUCAUGGUCAUCCUGGGGCAGGUUAUCUGAUGGCAAAUAACAACACUCCUACUCAUGACUUUGCGCCAGCGUGGUUAAAAAUACCAUCUUAUGAAACAAGUGUAA